Molecule: ribosomal RNA, 467 nt
Filed under: uncultured bacterium
Lineage: Bacteria
Description: partial 16S ribosomal RNA
Rfam family: Bacterial small subunit ribosomal RNA
Source: RNAcentral
GACGAACGCUGGCGGCGUGCUUAACACAUGCAAGUCGAACGGAAAGGCCCUGCUUUUGUGGGGUGCUCGAGUGGCGAACGGGUGAGUAACACGUGAGUAACCUGCCCUUGACUUUGGGAUAACUUCAGGAAACUGGGGCUAAUACCGGAUAGGAGCUCCUGCUGCAUGGUGGGGGUUGGAAAGUUUCGGCGGUUGGGGAUGGACUCGCGGCUUAUCGGCUUGUUGGUGGGGUAGUGGCUUACCAAGGCUUUGACGGGUAGCCGGCCUGAGAGGGUGACCGGCCACAUUGGGACUGAGAUACGGCCCAGACUCCUACGGGAGGCAGCAGUGGGGAAUAUUGCACAAUGGGCGGAAGCCUGAUGCAGCAACGCCGCGUGCGGGAUGACGGCCUUCGGGUUGUAAACCGCUUUCGCCUGUGACGAAGCGUGAGUGACGGUAAUGGGUAAAGAAGCACCGGCGAACUACGU